RNAcentral lists this ribosomal RNA (253 nucleotides) under uncultured bacterium. RNAcentral describes it as "partial 16S ribosomal RNA". It matches the Rfam family "Bacterial small subunit ribosomal RNA", at positions 524 to 776 of the family's 1533-position model. The record is from RNAcentral.
UACGUAGGGUGCAAGCGUUGUCCGGAAUUAUUGGGCGUAAAGAGCUCGUAGGCGGCUUGUCACGUCGGGUGUGAAAGACCGGGGCUUAACCCCGGUUCUGCAUUCGAUACGGGCUGGCUAGAGUACGGAAGAGGCGAGUGGAAUUCCCGGUGUAGCGGUGAAAUGCGCAGAUAUCGGGAGGAACACCAAUUGCGAAGGCAGCGCGCUGGGACGUUACUGACGCUGAGACGCGAAAGCGUGGGGAGCGAACAGG